Nicotiana tabacum (common tobacco) is the source of this 820-nucleotide long non-coding RNA. RefSeq lists it as uncharacterized. Lineage: Eukaryota; Viridiplantae; Streptophyta; Magnoliopsida; Solanales; Solanaceae. The record is from RefSeq and is a predicted model, not a curated record.
UUAAUGAUUACCUCUCUACUAUUUACUUUUAUUAUUAUAGAAGAUCAUUGGAGUUCAAGGAUGUGUAUUUCUAGCUCAGUUAGUGGGUGACUACUGCUCCAGUUAAACUUGGGGAAAGAAACAGGGAGAUCAUUUUUCUGACAAUAUGAGAUUUCCAAAUUGGGUAGGAGGAAAAUGUUUUUCAUGCAAGUUAGUGAAUUCAAGAGCUAGAUAUCUCAAAAAAGAGGAUACAUUCACGGGUUGCAGAUGCUUCAGAAUACGACUGCUGCACAUUUUCAGAUUUUCACCCUUGUGGAUCCUUGAAACACGGACUUUAGUGGCUAUAUUCAAGAUAUGAGAUGUAAGAGACUAUUGGCGCAUCUGAAACCUUAACUUGGAGAAUGAAGAGAAAAGUCCCUUCAACAUUAACCCAUUGGAGUGGACUGAACUUACUAACUCAAGCAAACCUCCAACAUGUUGGUGAAAAUGUAUGCCUAAGAUGCUAUAUGUGCCUAGAGGAAGCUGAAUUCAUCAUUCAGUGAAGUAAAUAGAUCAGCACUGAGCAGUUGGUGCAUGUACCAUUGCUUGUAUAUUGUUUGUGCAUGUUUCAAAGAUUAUUCAAAUACAAAUGGUGGUACCUGCCCCUGGUACUGUAAAAGAAGUUAUUAUUAGCUUAGAUGGGCGAGAAAGUAAAAAACAUCUCAGAGUUGUAUGUAAUACAAUUUCAACCUGUAAUUUUUAUGUAGUUUGGAAUGACAAGUAGAUGUAUCAAAAAUGAGAAACUUCGGUCCACACGCUUUGAAUACAGUUUGUUUGUGUUUGGUGGCUGUCUGAAUCAAAA